This 443-nucleotide ribosomal RNA is filed under the name uncultured bacterium. RNAcentral's name for it is "partial 16S ribosomal RNA". It matches the Rfam family "Bacterial small subunit ribosomal RNA", at positions 338 to 795 of the family's 1533-position model. The record is from RNAcentral.
CCUACGGGAGGCAGCAGUGGGGAAUAUUGGGCAAUGGGCGCAAGCCUGACCCAGCAACGCCGCGUGAAGGAAGAAGGCUUUCGGGUUGUAAACUUCUUUUCUCAGGGACGAAGCAAGUGACGGUACCUGAGGAAUAAGCCACGGCUAACUACGUGCCAGCAGCCGCGGUAAUACGUAGGUGGCAAGCGUUAUCCGGAUUUACUGGGUGUAAAGGGCGGGUAGGCGGGAAAGCAAGUCAGAUGUGAAAACCAUGGGCUCAACCUGUGGCCUGCAUUUGAACCUGUUUUUCUUGAGUACUGGAGAGGCGGACGGAAGUCCUAGUGUAGCGGUGAAAUGCGUAGAUAUUAGGAGGAACACCAGUGGCGAAGGCGGUCUGCUGGACAGCAACUGACGCUGAGGCGCGAAAGCGUGGGGAGCAAACAGGAUUAGAUACCCUAGUAGUC